UACGUAGGGGGCUAGCGUUGUCCGGAAUCAUUGGGCGUAAAGAGCGUGUAGGCGGCCAACUAAGUCCUGCGUGAAAUCUCGGGGCUCAACCCCGAGCGGUCGUGGGAAACUGGUUGGCUAGAGUGCGGGAGAGGAGAACGGAAUUCCCAGUGUAGCGGUGAAAUGCGCAGAUAUUGGGAAGAACACCAGUGGCGAAGGCGGUUCUCUGGGACGGUACUGACGCUGAGACGCGAAAGCGUGGGGAGCGAACAGG
Molecule: ribosomal RNA, 253 nt
Filed under: uncultured bacterium
Lineage: Bacteria
Description: partial 16S ribosomal RNA
Rfam family: Bacterial small subunit ribosomal RNA
Source: RNAcentral